UACAGAGGUCUCAAGCGUUGUUCGGAUUCAUUGGGCGUAAAGGGUGCGUAGGCGGCGCGGUAAGUCGGGUGUGAAAUCUUGGAGCUUAACUCCGAAACUGCAUUCGAUACUGCCGUGCUUGAGGACUGGAGAGGAGACUGGAAUUUACGGUGUAGCGGUGAAAUGCGUAGAGAUCAUGAGGAAGACCAGUGGCGAAGGCGGGUCUCUGGACAGUUCCUGACACUGAGACACGAAGGCCAGGGGAGCAAACGGG
This 253-nucleotide ribosomal RNA is filed under the name uncultured bacterium. Its description in RNAcentral is "partial 16S ribosomal RNA". It matches the Rfam family "Bacterial small subunit ribosomal RNA", at positions 524 to 776 of the family's 1533-position model. The record is from RNAcentral.